ACGUUAGCGGCGGACGGGUGAGUAACACGUGGGUAACCUACCUAUAAGACUGGGAUAACUUCGGGAAACCGGAGCUAAUACCGGAUAAUAUUUCGAACCGCAUGGUUCGAUAGUGAAAGAUGGUUUUGCUAUCACUUAUAGAUGGACCUGCGCCGUAUUAGCUAGUUGGUAAGGUAACGGCUUACCAAGGCGACGAUACGUAGCCGACCUGAGAGGGUUAUCGGCCACACUGGAACUGAGACACGGUCCAGACUCCUACGGGAGGCAGCAGGC
Molecule: ribosomal RNA, 273 nt
Filed under: uncultured Staphylococcus sp.
Lineage: Bacteria; Bacillati; Bacillota; Bacilli; Caryophanales; Staphylococcaceae
Description: partial 16S ribosomal RNA
Rfam family: Bacterial small subunit ribosomal RNA
Source: RNAcentral